GUUCCUGUAGUUGAAUAACAACGAUGGCUUUUCAUGUCUUUAGUCCUGGUUGGAAUCCUGGCAAGAAUC
RNAcentral lists this transfer RNA (69 nucleotides) under Chionodraco myersi (Myers' icefish). RNAcentral describes it as "tRNA-Glu". It matches the Rfam family "tRNA". Rfam says of the family: Transfer RNA (tRNA) molecules are approximately 80 nucleotides in length. Their secondary structure includes four short double-helical elements and three loops (D, anti-codon, and T loops). Further hydrogen bonds mediate the characteristic L-shaped molecular structure. tRNAs have two regions of fundamental functional importance: the anti-codon, which is responsible for specific mRNA codon recognition, and the 3' end, to which the tRNAs corresponding amino acid is attached (by aminoacyl-tRNA synthetases). tRNAs cope with the degeneracy of the genetic code in two manners: having more than one tRNA (with a specific anti-codon) for a particular amino acid; and 'wobble' base-pairing, i.e. permitting non-standard base-pairing at the 3rd anti-codon position. Lineage: Eukaryota; Metazoa; Chordata; Actinopteri; Perciformes; Channichthyidae. The record is from RNAcentral.